UGAGGAAUAUUGCGCAAUGGGCGAAAGCCUGACGCAGCAACGCCGCGUGGAGGACGAAGGCCUUCGGGUCGUAAACUCCUUUUCCGGGGAACGAGGAAGGACGGUACCCCGGGAAUAAGUCUCGGCUAACUACGUGCCAGCAGCCGCGGUAAAACGUAGGAGGCGAGCGUUAUCCGGAUUUACUGGGCGUAAAGCGCACGCAGGUGGCUUUGCAAGUCGGACAUGAAAGCUCCUGGCUUAACUGGGAGAGGUUGUUCGAUACUGCGGGGCUUGAGGUUGGGAGAGGGACGUGGAAUUCCCGGUGUAGUGGUGGAAUGCGUAGAUAUCGGGAGGAACACCAGUGGCGCAAGCGGCGUCCUGGCCCACACCUGACGCUGAGGUGCGAAAGCGUGGGGAGCAAACAGG
This 405-nucleotide ribosomal RNA is filed under the name uncultured bacterium. RNAcentral's name for it is "bacterial SSU rRNA". It matches the Rfam family "Bacterial small subunit ribosomal RNA", at positions 355 to 776 of the family's 1533-position model. The record is from RNAcentral.